This 8574-nucleotide long non-coding RNA is filed under the name Mytilus galloprovincialis (Mediterranean mussel). Lineage: Eukaryota; Metazoa; Mollusca; Bivalvia; Mytilida; Mytilidae. The record is from RNAcentral.
AUCAAAAAAUACCACUGAUAGAGCAUAUCUUCUAACUGUACCAGGUAAUUAUCUUCCUUUGAUAUAACUCCAUCAAAAUACCACUGAUACAGCAUAUCUUCUAACUGUACCAGGUAAAAUAUCUUCCUUUGAUAUAAAAUCCAUCAAAAUAUACCACUGAUACAGCAUAUCUUCUAACUGUACCAGGUAAAUAUCUCCCUUUCAUAUAAAUCCAUCAAAAUAACCACUGAUAGAGCAUAUCUACUAACUGUACCAGGUAAAUAUCUUCCUUUGAUAUAAAUCCAUCAAAAUACCACUGAUACAGCAUAUCUUCUAACUGUACCAGGUAAAUAUCUUCCUUUCAUAUAAAUCUAUCAAAAUACCACUGAUACAGCAUAUCUUCUAACUGUACCAGGUAAAUAUCUUCCUUUCAUAUAAAUCUAUCAAAAUACCACUGAUAGAGCAUAUCUUCUAACUGUACCAGGUAAUUAUCUCCCUUUGAUAUAAAUCCAUCAAAAUACCACUGAUACAGCAUAUCUUCUAACUGUACCAGGUAAAUAUCUUCCUUUCAUAUAAAUCUAUCAAAAUACCACUGAUAGAGCAUCUCAAAACCUUGUGAUUACCUCCCUUUCAAUGAACAUCAAAACAUCACUUAUUCAAUAUUUUUGGUAAAAUUUUACAGUGCUUAUCCAGUGACCUUUGGGGUAUCACAAUAGCAAUGGCUAAAACAGUUUACCAAAUUGCAGUUUGAUUUUUUCUCCCACAAACUGAUCAACUGGUAAAGUAUUUUAGCAGAUUGCUCAAGUGAAAUGUUGUUAGUAUGAAGUGAGUGCUGUAAAAUCAAAAGUAAUAUUUACCAUCCAGAUUCUGUUAGUUGAUAUCUUUGUUAAUCUUUUCAAACACAAUAAUGACUUACUAUAGUAUGAGUCACUGAAUAAGAAGGCCUAAUAUUGACAAGGAAAACUUCUAUCAUAAAUAGAUUUUAUAAAUAAAUAGUUCAAACCAUUGUUUUGUAGAUGUAUAUUUUAUAGCUUUGUCUUCUAAGACAAAGUUAUUGUGUAAUUAUGAUUCGUAUAAUAUUUUCUAUACAAAUUACUGAUCUGCUGGCAUGAAAGGGAAAUAAUUUUUAUUGAGUUAUUGUACACUAUAAAAUUAAUCAAUGAUACCAGGCUUCUGAUUUUGCCUACAAAAAAAUCAUCAAUACGACUUGAAUAAAAAAAAAAUGAAUUGCCAAAUUAGGAGGAAGUUGAAGGGCAUUUAGGACACAAAUUACAAAGGUUUUGCCAAAUACUGCUUAUAAGUUAUCUUGUGCUCCGUGGUAGAGAAUCCUUAGUACUUUGAACAAUGCAAAGUUUGGCAAAACAGCUGUUAAUCUAUAAUUUUACCAUAUCAAUAAAAAUUCAUGUCAAAAUAAAAUUACUGACUACUGGACUGGUGAUACUUUCUUAAUUUACAGGGGAAUUUGUAUGAUUUAUAGAACUUUGAAUGUGUUCAAUAAUAGGUUUUAACAGGUUUUUUUCAAAAUUUUAAUCAUCUUGAAAAUAAAUUUCAUUGUUCUUUUCAAAACAGAGGAUAAAAGUUUAAUAAUCAUAAAAGUAAUGUUACAAACAAAUUAAAUGAGGAAAGUUGAUAUUUGUCAGACAAAAAUUGUGACAACAUUUUGCUGAUUUUCAGUAAUGUAAAUUAUUUCCCUUUAAUGGUAGCAGAUAAGUAAUUGCUUUAGAAAAAAAUCCAAAUUACAAUUAUGCACGAACUUAUUGUUGGAAAACGGAGCUAUAAAUUAUAGACUUUCAAAACAAUGUUUUGAACUAUUUAUUUAUAAAAUCUAUUUAUGAUAGAAGUUUCCUUGUCAAUAUUAGGCCUUCUUAUUCAGUGACUCAUACUAUAGUUAGUCAUUUUUUUGUUUGAAAAGAAUGACAAAGAUAUCAACUAACUGGAUCUUGAUGGUAAGUAUUACUUUUGAAUUUACAGCACGCACAUCAUACUAACAACAUUUCACUUGAGCAAUCUGCUAAAAUAGUUUACCAGUUGAUCUGUUAGUUGGAGAAGAAAUCUAACUGCAAUUUGGUAAACUGUUUGAGCCAUUGCUAUUGUGAUACCCCAAAGGUCACUGGAUAAGCACAGUAAUAGAAAUCUUUUUUUUAACCAACUUCUUGAUAGAUACUUAAUCAAUAACUUUUUCAAACAAUAAAUUGAUCAAUUACAAUAAAUUGAAUUAAAAGACUAAAUAUAUUAAUUUCAGGAUGUGCUGAAGAUUGUCCUUUAGAAGACUUCCAGAAAAUAACCAAACCGUAUAUACCUGUGGACUGGAAAAAAGAAUGUGGAGUCAAGUCUGAUGAUAAUACAGUCUCAUUUACAACUUGUAAGUUGAUUACUAGAGCUACUGCUUGUCAGCAGUGCCUACAGUAAUAAAACUGUCUGUCCAUCCGUCUUCAAUUCUACUCUUUCUAUAUAAAGUUGACACUGCCUUAACAGAUUUAGAUUCAAUUUCAUGCACAGUUUUUAUACCUUAUAUAAGUUUCUUGUAAAUUUGAAUAAACGUAUUCAGUGACUUAUUAUUAAAGGGCUAUAGUUCAAAUCAAUUCCAGGAAUGCAGAAUUAAUUCAUUACAAAGUGCUAUAAUUCCAUUGACUCUUGAUACAUAGAUUUGUUAUAACUCCAAAGACUGAAUACCAUCAAGUUUAAUUUUGGUGGUGUGACUUAAACCAAUCUAUAGUUAUUUCCCUUUACAAAUGGAAAAAUUGAUGCAUUUUUUAGUUUCUGUUCUCUAGUUUGCCUAAAUCAAAUGUAAUGAAACUUAUACACAAUGCUUAUUACCACAAAACUCAGAUCAAGUACAAAUUUGGGCAGUUCACUUUUAUUGUUCUAGAGUUAUUCCCCUUUAUAACUUUAUAUGAAUUCAAGCAGGUGCUGACUUUUAUUCUUGUACCAAUCAAUUCUAAUCUUAGUAUUUUGUAUUUUUCAGACCAGAUCACUAUAGCAGUACUAGCAGGUGUAAUCUUGAUCUUACUCAUUUUAACAUUAGUGUUUUGUAUUUUUCAGACCAGAUCACUACAGCCGUACUAGCAGGUGUAAUCUUGAUCUUACUCAUUUUAACAGAAGUGUUUUGUAUUUUUUCAGACCAGAUCACUACAGCAGUACUAGCAGGUGUAAUCUUGAUCUUACUCAUUUUAACAGAAGUGUUUUGUAUUUUUCAGACCAGAUCACUACAGCAGUACUAGCAGGUGUAAUCUUGAUCUUACUCAUUUUAACUGUAGUGUUUUGUAUUUGUCCGACCAGAUCACUAUAGCCGUUCUAGCAGGAGUAAUCUUGAUCUUACUCAUUUUAACAGAAGUGUUUUGUAUUUUUCAGACCAGAUCACUACAGCCGUACUAGCAGGUGUAAUCUUGAUCUUACUCAUUUUAACAGAAGUGUUUUGUAUUUUUCAGACCAGAUCACUACAGCAGUACUAGCAGGUGUAAUCUUGAUCUUACUCAUUUUAACUGUAGUGUUUUGUAUUUUCAGACCAGAUCACUACAGCAGUACUAGCAGGUGUAAUCUCUUGAUCUUACUCAUUUUAACAGAAGUGUUUUGUAUUUUUCAGACCAGAUCACUACAGCAGUACUACUUAGCAGGUGUAAUCUUGAUCUUACUCAUUUUAACAUGUAGUGUUUUGUAUUUUUCAGACCAGAUCACUACAGCAGUACUAGCAGGUGUAAUCUUGAUCUUACUCAUUUUAACAGAAGUGUUAUUAAUUUUUUCAGACCAGAUCACUACAGCCGUACUAGCAGGUGUAAUCUUGAUCUUACUCAUUUUAACUGUAGUGUUUUGUAUUUUUCAGACCAGAUCACUACAGCAGUACUAGCAGGUGUAAUCUUGAUCUUACUCAUUUUAACAGAAGUGUUUUGUAUUUUUCAGACCAGAUCACUACAGCCGUACUAGCAGGUGUAAUCUUGAUCUUACUCAUUUUAACAGAAGUGUUUUGUAUUUUUCAGACCAGAUCACUACAGCAGUACUAGCAGGUGUAAUCUUUGAUCUUACUCAUUUUAACUGAAGUGUUUUGUAUUUUUCAGACCAGAUCACUACAGCAGUACUAGCAGGUGUAAUCUUGAUCUUACUCAUUUUAACUGUAGUGUUUUGUAUUUUUCAGACCAGAUCACUACAGCCGUACUAGCAGGUGUAAUCUUGAUCUUACUCAUUUUAACUGUAGUGUUUUGUAUUUUUCAGACCAGAUCACUACAGCAGUACUAGCAGGUGUAAUCUUGAGUAGUUUUUGUAUUUUUCAGACCAGAUCACUACAGCAGUACUAGCAGGUGUAAUCUUGAUCUUACUCAUUAUACCCCACGCAACGAAGUUGCGGAGGGUAUAAUGUUUUUGACCCGUCCGUCCGUCAGUCCGUCCGUCCGUCCGUCAGUCCUGUUUCUUGUCAUCGCAACUCCUCUCAAACCACACAACAGAAUUUCACGAAACCUUUUCAGAUAAUAAGGACAUACUAUGUAGUUGUGCAUAUCGACGGGAAAUUGCGAUUCAAUUUUUUUUCUAGAGUUACGCCCCUUUGAACUUAUUUACUUUAAUGUACUACUGCAACAGUUUGUCAUCGCAACUCCUCUCAAACCACACAACAGAAUUUCACGAAACCUUUUCAGAUAAUAAGGACAUACUAUGUAGUUGUGCAUAUCGACGGGAAAUUGCGAUUCAAUUUUUUUUUUCUAGGAGUUACGCCCCUUUGAACUUAUUUACUUUAAUGUACUACUGCAACAGUUUGUCAUCGCAACUCCUCUCAAACCACACAACAGAAUUUCACGAAACCUUUUCAGAUAAUAAGGACAUACUAUGUAGUUGUGCAUAUCGACGGAAAAUUGCGAUUCAAUUUUUUUUCUAGGAGUUACGCCCCUUUGAACUUAUUUACUUUAAUGUACUACUGCAACAGUUUGUCAUCGCAACUCCUCUCAAACCACACAACAGAAUUUCACGAAACUUUUUUAUAAUAAGGACAUAUUAUGUAGUUGUGCAUAUCGACGAAAAAUUACGAUUCAAUUUUAUUUCUAGGAGUUACGCCCCUUUGAACUUAUUUGCUUCAAUGUACUACUGCAACAGUUUGUCAUCGCAACUCCUCUGAAACUACACAACAACAGAAUUUCAUGAAACCUUUUCAGAUAAUAAGGACAUACUAUGUAGUUGUGCAUAUCGACAGGAAAUUACGAUUCAAUUUUAUUUCUAGGAGUUACGCCACUUUGAACUUAUUUGCUUCAAUGUACUUCUGCAACAGUUUGUCAUCUCAACUCCUCUGAAAACACCAGACUAUGCGAAAUACGUCGGAGUCGGACAAAUUGAAUAAUGGAUCAAAAUUUUGUUGAAUUCCGGUCCGAAUGUCCGGUGUUUUUUUUUAUGGAACAUUCUAGCAAAAUUGCCAAACGAUCUCAAAUUCAUUUUCAUCUUUAUUAUUCACCACAGCGAUGUUUGUUUUGUUCAACCGCUAGCUUUAUGCCGAACAUCGACAACCAGUAAUGUGUAAAUCCGGGCAAAAACAUAUCUGACUGUCAAAAACAACAAUGGAUGCCAUCAUUGGCACAACCGGAAAUGUAAAUAAAACCGGAUCAGAUUCUGGGAACGGAUAAGGAUAAUUCCGGGUUUGCCGAUUUAAAUACAAUAAAUGAAUAAAAAUCCAAGCAGAUCACAAAAUUAAGCUAUGAAAUAUAACCACAAGAAUUGAAAACCAAAAGAUAUAUGAAAAAGAAAGAAGAAACAGGAAAUAAUAUUUUAUACAGAAACUCUAAAUUAUGUUUAGUUCACAAACAUUGUCAAAAUCCAAUAAAAUGGGACAUUACUCUUCACUGAAAUGCAUUCAAGCAAUUUGUGCCACAACUUUCAUAACAAUAUCCCCUCUUGUUACAUCAUUUUGUUUUAAUUUUUGCAUUUCGGGGAGGAGUAGGGCACAACAAAGUCAUACAUAUGUUUGUUGUUUUUUGUCGGAUAAUAUACAAUUAGAUGUAAAAAAAAAUUGGUCUGGUAAAAUUUCAUUCGGUCUGGUAAAGCUAGGAUGCUUACCAGACCGAAUGUCCUGUAAAAAUAAAAUUCAUUCGCAUAGUCUGAAACACACAACAGAAUUUCAUGAAAUUUUGUAGAUAAUAAGGACAUACUAUGUAGAUGUGUAUAUUGACAGGAAAUCAUUAUUCAAUAUUUUUUCUUAUAUAAUUUUUUUUUCUUAUACUUAUUUAAUUUCUCCAAUGACAAUGUGGGGACGUGGGGUAUGUGAGCGUGCUCACUAAGGUUCUUUAAUUUUAACAGAAGUGUUUUGUAUUUUUCAGACCAGAUCACUACAGCAGUACUAGCAGGUGUAAUCUUGAUCUUACUCAUUUUAACAGAAGUGUUUUAUAUUUUUCAGACCAGAUCACUACAGCCGUACUAGCAGGUGUAAUCUUGAUCUUACUCAUUUUAACUGUAGUGUUUUGUAUUUUUCAGACCAGAUCACUACAGCCGUACUAGCAGGUGUAAUCUUGAUCUUACUCAUUUUAACAGAAGUGUUUUGUAUUUUUCAGACCAGAUCACUACAGCAGUACUAGCAGGUGUAAUCUUGAUCUUACUCAUUUUAACAGAAGUGUUUUGUAUUUUUCAGACCAGAUCACUACAGCCGUACUAGCAGGUGUAAUCUUGAUCUUACUCAUUUUAACAGAAGUGUUUUGUAUUUUUCAGACCAGAUCACUACAGCCGUACUAGCAGGUGUAAUCUUGAUCUUACUCAUUUUUAACUGUAGUGUUUUGUAUUUGUCCGACCAGGUCACUAUAGCCGUUCUAGCAGGAGUAAUCUUGAUCUUACUCAUUUUAACAGAAGUGUUUUGUAUUUUUCAGACCAGAUCACUACAGCCGUACUAGCAGGUGUAAUCUUGAUCUUACUCAUUUUAACAGAAGUGUUUUGUAUUUUUCAGACCAGAUCACUACAGCAGUACUAGCAGGUGUAAUCUUGAUCCUACUCCUUUUAACAGAAGUGUUUGGUAUUUUUCAGACCAGAUCACUACAGCCGUACUAGCAGGUGUAAUCUUGAUCUUACUCAUUUUAACUGUAGUGUUUUGUAUUUGUCCGACCAGGUCACUAUAGCCGUUCUAGCAGGAGUAAUCUUGAUCUUACUCAUUUUAACAGAAGUGUUUUGUAUUUUUCAGACCAGAUCACUACAGCCGUACUAGCAGGUGUAAUCUUGAUCUUACUCAUUUUAACAGAAGUGUUUUGUAUUUUUCAGACCAGAUCACUACAGCAGUACUAGCAGGUGUAAUCUUGAUCUUACUCAUUUUAACAGAAGUGUUUUGUAUUUUCAGACCAGAUCACUACAGCCGUACUAGCAGGUGUAGUCUUGAUCUUACUCAUUUUAACAUUAGUGUUUUGUAUUUUUCAGACCAGAUCACUACAGCCGUACUAGCAGGUGUAAUCUUGAUCUUACUUGUUAUCCUGGUUGUGGUGUUUAUUCGGAUGAGGAAGAUACAAGUGUCAUACAGAAACUUUAGAUGACCAACUGCAGAAUAUGAAUAUGUACAGCUACAAUAUUAUGAUGAUUAUUCUGACUGAUUACACUAUUACUGUACACCAGAUAUUUCUAUUAAUUGACACCCAAUAGUUGCUCAAUUCAACAAUAGUAUUACAUAACUGUCAACAUGGUAUACAGUUGAUUAAUAUGUCAUAUUAUUUUUCUAUGCUUAACACACAGUUACAACACUAUCUGGUGUACAGGGAUACACUUUGAAUGUCACAAAUAUACAAUUACAUUAUUACAAUAUUACAAUGAUUUUUGAAGCCAGAAUAUUUAUCAUUUAUCACAUACAUAUAUUCAACAAGCCUUUCUUUCUCAGGAAUUAUUUAUUACACCCCCACUCUCAAAAUGAGGACUAUAUUGCAUUCAUUUUGUUCGUCCAUCCACGUUCAUCAAGCAUGCCAACAGUAAUAAGUUGUAAUGAAUUGUAAAUGUGUGCGCUCUUUUCUGAUCUGUGCAAUCUUAAAAAAUAAUCAAUAAUGCUGAUAUAAUUGUAAUUUUCCUCAAGCUGAAGUAUUGAAUUGAAUGAUGUGAUUUCAAACUUCACAUAGUUUUUGAGAAUCGUAGUUGGAGGUCUUUGUAUUCAUUUAACAAUCAGCAUUAACAUUCACUGUUAUUUAACCUUAAUCCUAGAAAAAAAUUCUUAAUCAAUAGCACAUUUAUUACGAUAUUUUGCAAUGCUUUUUAAACUAUUUAUUAUAGGGACAAGCUUUAACUACAUGUCUUUCAAAAGUAAAACACUUUUUUUUUGCUUUCUUGCUUGAAAAUAAGAACUAACAGAAAACACUAAACUUUACUAAGCCUCCAUAUAUGAUUUAUAAAAAGGAAUGUUUUUGUAUAUAUGUAAAAAUUUAAUUUAUAUUAUUAUAAGUUCGUAUUUUCUUCAGAAUUGCUCAAAAUUUGUCUCAUGUUUUUUGUAGAUAUGCAGAUAUAUUUUUAACAUUUGUACAUAUAAAUAUAUAUAUAUAUGAUCAAAAUUGUGUGUCAUUCCAAAGAGCAAAACUUUUAGCCUUGUAUGUAUGUGGUAAUGUAUUUUAUUGUAAAUUCACAAUUUAUGUACAUGUAUUAAUCAAAUACAAAAAAUAAAAACUUUACAGC